RNAcentral lists this ribosomal RNA (308 nucleotides) under uncultured Pseudomonadota bacterium. RNAcentral describes it as "bacterial SSU rRNA". It matches the Rfam family "Bacterial small subunit ribosomal RNA", at positions 29 to 351 of the family's 1533-position model. The record is from RNAcentral. Lineage: Bacteria; Pseudomonadati; Pseudomonadota.
AAUGAACGCUGGCGGCGUGCCUAACACAUGCAAGUCGAACGAGAAAGCCUGGCUUGCCAGGCGAGUAAAGUGGCGCACGGGUGAGUAACGCGUGGGAACCUGCCUUUAGGUUCGGAAUAACAGUUAGAAAUGACUGCUAAUACCGGAUAAUGUCUUCGGACCAAAGAUUUAUCGCCUUUAGAUGGGCCCGCGUUGGAUUAGAUAGUUGGUGGGGUAAUGGCCUACCAAGUCGACGAUCCAUAGCUGGUCUGAGAGGAUGAUCAGCCACACUGGGACUGAGACACGGCCCAGACUCCUACGGGUGGCAG